This is a long non-coding RNA of Rhododendron vialii, 1410 nucleotides long. RefSeq lists it as uncharacterized. The transcript is spliced from 2 exons. NCBI's taxonomy places the organism in Eukaryota, Viridiplantae, Streptophyta, Magnoliopsida, Ericales, Ericaceae. The record is from RefSeq and is a predicted model, not a curated record.
UGGUUGAUGUAAGCCAAGUCUGAUUAUUAAAAACUUUUUCCGAGUCUAAGGAAAUUUCAUUUCUCAUAUGAUCUCACAUGAAGUUGUUCAGAAGUUUAUGUAAAUACGACCAUCGAUCAAAUGCUAACUUUAGGAGAUUUGGUUCUGAAGUAGAGCCAAACACAGAUUUAUUCAAUUCUUGUAGCUGCUUCAUAGUUAGAAACAAGGCGAAGAAUUACUUUUUGGAACAAAGGAAACAAAAGCUCAUAUGUGGCAUGGCUUGAUUAACUAAAAGCUCUUAUAUGGCAUGGCUUAAUUAACUAACUCCGCUGACGCUUUCUGGACAAAUGAUGCUAAAGAGUGUAUGGGUUUACAAUUUCCUUGCGAGUUGCCAAACCAAAAUUUGUUCCUGUUAUGGUCCCUCCCGAGUUGUUGAUGAGGGGCUUUUUUACAUCUCUUUUAGAGCAUACCUUCAAUAAGAUUAUAAGAGCUCAAACCAAGGACCUGACACGUAUAAGCAAAACAAAAUUACAUGAACUCGGGGGAAAUAGAGCUAAAAGUAGUUUAAGCUGCUUCAUAGUCGGAUGAAUUUCAUUUUUCUAUUCCUUUCAGACAAGUUAACACUUCACAUCAAGAUUUCUCUUUUGGCUUGAAAAGCAUGAACACAUUUAAGAAAUGAGGGGAAAAAACUUACCCUUGACAAAUAAUGGGGUCUUAAAGCAUCAAGGCUUAUGUAUGCAUAAUGAAACGAAUGUGUUCAUAGAAUCUAAAGACUUACAUGCAUAAUGAAAUGAAUCUGUUCAUAGCAUUAAGACUUUCACGUUUUUUGUUGGCCUUUAUUGGUGAUUACGCUGAAAAGUUCGAAAGAGAUGUAUUCACAUGCUUUCCGCCUGUGGUUAUGUGGAGGAGUGCUAAAGUUUUGUUAUUGUUACCUUUUAGGUCAUUUCAGGUAUAUCGAGUUACCGAUUCGUAUAUAUCAUCCUUUUCACGUGAGCGAGGUAGAGCGGUUGCUUAGCCUAUCAUGUUUAAAGUGCUUAAAGAUGAAGAAUAAGAAGGAGUGCAGGGUGCUGCCAAUGAAUUACAAAGCUUAUGGUGUCUUGCAUGUCGGUGUUGAAGAGAAUUUUGUUUGUUGGGUUUUUUUACAACAUACUUUCAUUUUGAUACAAGGGAAGAACGGAGAAGAAGAAGGCUGACUGGAUAAUGGACAUACUAAACUGAUAUUCCCCUUGAUUUUGGUGGUCUUUCACUUCUUUUCUGGUUUGUGUUGAAAGUGGUGGAGUUAUUUUGGAGGCUUGGUCGUGUUUUAGAUUUCGUUUUGGCAAUUGAUCGCUUUUUCGACAGUUGUGUCUCAUUGUUCUUUUGGCUGCAUAUUGUGUUUUGAACGGAUAAAAAUUGAUUCUUUGAGACAUUUGUAUAUUAAUUACAUGCACA